This 90-nucleotide microRNA precursor is filed under the name Marmota monax (woodchuck). The record is from RNAcentral. Lineage: Eukaryota; Metazoa; Chordata; Mammalia; Rodentia; Sciuridae.
AGUAAACAUCCAAAGAUAUACAGAUAUGUGUAUGUGUGUGUGUAUAUAUAUAUACACACACACAUACACAUAUCUGUAUGUGUGCAUGUU